RNAcentral lists this non-coding RNA (28 nucleotides) under Cricetulus griseus (Chinese hamster). The record is from RNAcentral. Lineage: Eukaryota; Metazoa; Chordata; Mammalia; Rodentia; Cricetidae.
AAAAACUAUUGAAUACUAUCCUGCAGCG